GAUGAACGCUGGCGGCGUGCCUAAUACAUGCAAGUCGAGCGGAAGGACGAUAAGCUUGCUUCUUUGUUGUUAGCGGCGGACGGGUGAGUAACGCGUGGAUCCCCUACCUAUAAGACUGGGAUCAUCUCGGGAAAGCGGCGCUUAUACCAGAUAAUCUUUUGAUGCGUAUGGUUCAAUAGUGAAAGUCGGUCUUGCUGUCACUUAUAGAUGGAUCCGCGCUGCAUUAGCUAGUUGGUAAGUUAAAAGCUUAUCAAGGGAACGAUGCGUAGCCGAGGGGAGAGGGUGAUCGGCCACACUGGAACUUAGACACGGUCCAGACUCCUACGGGAGGCAGCAGUAGGGAAUCUGCCGCAAUGGGCGAAAGCCUGACGGAGCAACGCCGCGUGAGUGAUGAAGGUCUUCGGAUCGUAAAACUCGGUUAUUAGGGAAGAACAUAUGUGUAAGUAACUGUGCACAUCUUGACGGUACCGAAUCAGAAAGCCACGGCUAACUACGUG
This 497-nucleotide ribosomal RNA is filed under the name uncultured bacterium. Its description in RNAcentral is "partial 16S ribosomal RNA". It matches the Rfam family "Bacterial small subunit ribosomal RNA", at positions 28 to 507 of the family's 1533-position model. The record is from RNAcentral.